UACGUAGGGGGCUAGCGUUGUCCGGAAUCAUUGGGCGUAAAGCGCGUGUAGGCGGCUCGAUAAGUCUGCUGUGAAAGUCCAGGGCUCAACCCUGGGAUGCCGGUGGAUACUGUCGAGCUCGAGUCCGGAAGAGGCGAGUGGAAUUCCUGGUGUAGCGGUGAAAUGCGCAGAUAUCAGGAGGAACACCAAUGGCGAAGGCAGCUCGCUGGGACGGUACUGACGCUGAGACGCGAAAGCGUGGGGAGCAAACAGG
RNAcentral lists this ribosomal RNA (253 nucleotides) under uncultured bacterium. RNAcentral describes it as "partial 16S ribosomal RNA". It matches the Rfam family "Bacterial small subunit ribosomal RNA", at positions 524 to 776 of the family's 1533-position model. The record is from RNAcentral.